RNAcentral lists this ribosomal RNA (708 nucleotides) under Dinophyceae gen. sp. Rance_3. RNAcentral describes it as "partial 24S large subunit ribosomal RNA". It matches the Rfam family "Eukaryotic large subunit ribosomal RNA", at positions 55 to 677 of the family's 3401-position model. The record is from RNAcentral. Lineage: Eukaryota; Dinophyceae.
GGACAAGAAACUAAACAGGAUCCCCAUAGUAAUGGCGAAUGAACCGGGAUAAACUCAGCAUGGAAAUUGGGGCCUUUGGCUUUGACUUGUAAUCUGGUGAGGCAUUGCCAACAGAGGCGCAUAUGUAAGUCUCUUGGAAAAGAGCAUCAACGAAGGUGAGAGUCCUGAUUGUCAUGUGCAGCCCCCCUGUGCACGGUGUGCCUUCUAAGAGUCACGUUCCUUGGGAUUGGAGCGCAAAUUGGGUGGUAACUUUCAUCUGAAGUUAAACAAUGGUUUGGGACCGAUAGGAAACAAGUACCAUGAGGGAAAGGUGAAAAGGACUUUGGAAAGAGAGUUAAAAGUGCCUGAAAUUGCUGAAGGGGAAGCGAAUGGAACCAGUGGUGCUGGGUGAGAUUGUCACAUGCUGCAAGGAUUGGUUGCUGCCACAACGCAAGUGUGCUGGCAAUUUGUGAACUGCUAGUGUGUGGUGUGUCUUACCUAGUGGGUCAUUGUGGGUUUAUGCAUUAGGAUAAAUCAAAGCAAGCGGGAGCAAGUUUACGAGUUUGUGAAUGUGUGUUGUUAUGCUUGUGCGUAAGCUUUAGUGUUUGUCUGGCUGCAGGGCUGUCCAUCCUCAAGCUUUGCUGUGGUUGCGAUGAGCAUAACCUUCCGCACAGAUCUUGACGAAAUGGUUUCAUUCGACCCGUCUUGAAACACGGACCAAGGAAGGGC